GAUGAACGCUGGCGGCGUGCCUAAUACAUGCAAGUCGAGCGAACAGACGAGGAGCUUUCUCCUCUGACGUUAGCGGCGGACGGGUUAGUAACACGUGGAUAACCUACCUAUAAGACUGGGAUAACUUCGUUAAACCGUAGCUAAUACCGGAUAAUAUAUUGAAUCGCAUGGUUCAAUAGUGAAAGACGGUUUUGCUGUCACUUAUAGAUGGAUCCGCGCCGCAUUAGCUAGUUGGUAAGGUAACGGCUUACCAAGGCGACGAUGCGUAGCCGACCUGAGAGGGUGAUCGGCCACACUGGAACUGAGACACGGCCCAGACUCCUACGGGAGGCAGCAGUAGGGAAUCUUCCGCAAUGGGCGAAAGCCUGACGGAGCAACGCCGCGUGAGUGAUGAAGGUCUUCGGAUCGUAAAACUCUGUUAUAAGGGAAGAAAAAAUGUGUAAGUAACUAUGCACGUCUUGACGGUACCUAAACAGAAAGCCACGGCUAACUACGUG
RNAcentral lists this ribosomal RNA (497 nucleotides) under uncultured bacterium. RNAcentral describes it as "partial 16S ribosomal RNA". It matches the Rfam family "Bacterial small subunit ribosomal RNA", at positions 28 to 507 of the family's 1533-position model. The record is from RNAcentral.